Molecule: ribosomal RNA, 399 nt
Filed under: uncultured bacterium
Lineage: Bacteria
Description: bacterial SSU rRNA
Rfam family: Bacterial small subunit ribosomal RNA
Source: RNAcentral
UUAUCCGGAUUUAUUGGGCGUAAAGCGUCCGCAGCCGGUUUAUUAAGUCUAGAAUUAAAGCCUGGAGCUCAACUCCAGUUCGUUUUAGAAACUGAUAGACUCGAGUGUGGUAGAGGCAAACGGAAUUUCUAGUGUAGCGGUAGAAUGCGUAGAUAUUAGAAGGAACACCAGUGGCGAAGGCGGUUUGCUAGGCCACCACUGACGGUCAUGGACGAAAGCGUGGGGAGCAAAUAGGAUUAGAUACCCUAGUAGUCCACGCUGUAAACGAUGAGUACUAAGUGUCGGGUUACCGGUGCUGAAGUUAACACAUUAAGUACUCCGCCUGAGUAGUACGGUCGCAAAGCUGAAACUCAAAGGAAUUGACGGGCACCCGCACAAGCGGUGGAGCAUGCUGUUUAA